Gossypium raimondii (Peruvian cotton) is the source of this 72-nucleotide non-coding RNA. Lineage: Eukaryota; Viridiplantae; Streptophyta; Magnoliopsida; Malvales; Malvaceae. The record is from Rfam.
UCCUCAGUAGCUCAGCGGUAGAGUAGUCGACUGUUAACUAACUGGUCGUAGGUUCGAAUCCUACUUGAGGAG